UCCCUGGUGGUCCAGUGGUUAGGACUCUGCACUUUCACUUCUGAGGGUCCAGUUUCAAUUCCUGGUCAGGGAA
Transfer RNA from Ovis aries (sheep), 73 nucleotides. It matches the Rfam family "tRNA". From Rfam's summary of the family: Transfer RNA (tRNA) molecules are approximately 80 nucleotides in length. Their secondary structure includes four short double-helical elements and three loops (D, anti-codon, and T loops). The record is from Rfam. Lineage: Eukaryota; Metazoa; Chordata; Mammalia; Artiodactyla; Bovidae.